This 496-nucleotide long non-coding RNA is filed under the name Rattus norvegicus (Norway rat). RNAcentral's name for it is "long non-coding RNA NONRATT012969". The record is from RNAcentral. Lineage: Eukaryota; Metazoa; Chordata; Mammalia; Rodentia; Muridae.
UUCUGUACAGAUAUUAUGGAUUUCUAAAGGCAGUCACAGCUUUAAUUGGAAUAUUUGGGGGCCUAAUUUCUUCAACUCUUGCUGGGUUGAUCCUUAAUCAGGAUCCAGAAUAUGCUUGGCAUAAAAACUUCUUCUUGAUGGCAGGCAUUAACGUGACAUGCCUGGCUUUCUACCUUCUGUUUGCAAAAGGAGAUAUUCAGGACUGGGCUAAAGAAACAAAAACCACACGGCUGUGAAGUUAGUAGAAGAGUGAGCACCUGAGAAGCAUGAGGUCAGCAUCCAUAUUGAAAGGAAGAGGAUUCUGUGUGGGACUGCAGUCAUGGGAGUCAUGAACACCUGAAGACCGGUAGCCUGAAGCUUUUAAGGGAGUCAUUGCCUCCCACUUUAGUCUGAGUGAUUCUUUUGCACUGUGUAUUGUGUGUAACAAGUUAUACUUCUGACUUUAAAGAGGAAUCUGUCUGUCUUCCUAUGAUCCAAUAAACAAACAUAAGCCAAA